This 252-nucleotide ribosomal RNA is filed under the name uncultured bacterium. Its description in RNAcentral is "partial 16S ribosomal RNA". It matches the Rfam family "Bacterial small subunit ribosomal RNA", at positions 524 to 776 of the family's 1533-position model. The record is from RNAcentral.
UACGAAGGGGCGAGCGUUGUUCGGAAUUACUGGGCGUAAAGGGCGCGCAGGCGGCUCUGAAAGUCAGAUGUGAAAGCCCCGGGCUUAACCUGGGAAUUGCAUUUGAUACUCUGGAGCUUGAGUGUGGGAGAGGAGAGUGGAAUUCCCAGUGUAGAGGUGAAAUUCGUAGAUAUUGGGAAGAACACCGGUGGCGAAGGCGGCUCUCUGGACCACAACUGACGCUGAGGCGCGAAAGCGUGGGGAGCAAACAGG